RNAcentral lists this ribosomal RNA (497 nucleotides) under uncultured bacterium. RNAcentral describes it as "partial 16S ribosomal RNA". It matches the Rfam family "Bacterial small subunit ribosomal RNA", at positions 28 to 507 of the family's 1533-position model. The record is from RNAcentral.
GAUGAACGCUGGCGGCGUGCCUAAUACAUGCAAGUCGAGCGAACAGACGAGGAGCUUGCUCCUCUGACGUUAGCGGCGGACGGGUGAGUAACACGUGGAUAACCUACCUAUAAGACUGGGAUAACUUCGGGAAACCGGAGCUAAUACCGGAUAAUAUAUUGAACCGCAUGGUUCAAUAGUGAAAGACGGUUUUGCUGUCACUUAUAGAUGGAUCCGCGCCGCAUUAGCUAGUUGGUAAGGUAACGGCUUACCAAGGCGACGAUGCGUAGCCGACCUGAGAGGGUGAUCGGCACCACGGGAACUGAGACACGGUCCAGACUCCUACGGGAGGCAGCAUUAGGGAAUCUUCCGCAAUGGGCGAAAGCCUGACGGAGCAACGCCGCGUGAGUGAUGAAGGUCUUCGGAUCGUAAAACUCUGUUAUUGGGGAAGAACAAAUGUGUAAGUAACUAUGCACGUCUUGACGGUACCUAAUCAGAAAGCCACGGCUAACUACGUG